GACGAACGCUGGCGGCGUGCCUAAUACAUGCAAGUCGAGCGGACCGACGGGAGCUUGCUCCCUUAGGUCAGCGGCGGACGGGUGAGUAACACGUGGGUAACCUGCCUGUAAGACUGGGAUAACUCCGGGAAACCGGGGCUAAUACCGGAUGCUUGAUUGAACCGCAUGGUUCAAUCAUAAAAGGUGGCUUUUAGCUACCACUUACAGAUGGACCCGCGGCGCAUUAGCUAGUUGGUGAGGUAACGGCUCACCAAGGCGACGAUGCGUAGCCGACCUGAGAGGGUGAUCGGCCACACUGGGACUGAGACACGGCCCAGACUCCUACGGGAGGCAGCAGUAGGGAAUCUUCCGCAAUGGACGAAAGUCUGACGGAGCAACGCCGCGUGAGUGAUGAAGGUUUUCGGAUCGUAAAACUCUGUUGUUAGGGAAGAACAAGUACCGUUCGAAUAGGGCGGYACCUUGACGGUACCUAACCAGAA
Molecule: ribosomal RNA, 479 nt
Filed under: Bacillus licheniformis
Lineage: Bacteria; Bacillati; Bacillota; Bacilli; Caryophanales; Bacillaceae
Description: bacterial SSU rRNA
Rfam family: Bacterial small subunit ribosomal RNA
Source: RNAcentral